AAUCAACGCUGGCGGCGUGCCUAACACAUGCAAGUCGAACGAUUAAAGCCCUUUCGGGGGUGUAUAGAGUGGCGUACGGGUGAGUAACACGUGGGUAAUCUACCUUUGGGUGGGGGAAGUAAACUCAGGGAAACGUUGAGCUAAUACCGCAUAAUGCAGCGGCUCGACAUCGAGACAGUUGUUAAAGAUUUAUCGCCUGAAGAGGAGCCUGCGCCUGAUUAGCUAGUUGGUGGGGUAANGGCUUACCAAGGCUACGAUCAGUAGCUGGUCUGAGAGGACGGCCAGCCACAAUGGCACUGAAACACGGGCCAUACUCCUACGGGAGGCAGCAGUGGGGUAAUUUUGCGCAAUAGGGCGAAAGCCCGACGCAGCAACGCCGCGUGAAGGAUGAAAU
This 394-nucleotide ribosomal RNA is filed under the name uncultured bacterium. RNAcentral's name for it is "bacterial SSU rRNA". It matches the Rfam family "Bacterial small subunit ribosomal RNA", at positions 32 to 414 of the family's 1533-position model. The record is from RNAcentral.